CCUACGGGUGGCAGCAGUAGGGAAUCUUCCACAAUGGGCGAAAGCCUGAUGGAGCAACGCCGCGUGGGUGAAGAAGGUCUUCGGAUCGUAAAACCCUGUUGUUAGAGAAGAAAGUGCGUGAGCGUAACUGUUCACGUUUCGACGGUAUCUAACCAGACAGCCACGGCUCACUACGUGCCAGUCGCCGCGGUAGUACGUAGGUGGCAAGCGUUAGCCGGAUUUAUUGGGCGUAAAGGGAACGCAGACGGUCUUUUAAGUCUGAUGUGAAAGCCUUCGGCUUAACCGGAGUAGUGCAUUGGAGACUGGGAGACUUGAGUGCAGAAGAGGAGGGUGGAACUCGAGGUGUAGCGGUGAAAUGCGUAGAUAUAUGGAAGAACACCAGUGGCGAAGGCGGCUCUCUGGUCUGUAACUGACGCUGAGGUUCGAAAGCGUGGGUAGCAAACAGGAUUAGAUACCCCAGUAGUC
This 465-nucleotide ribosomal RNA is filed under the name uncultured bacterium. Its description in RNAcentral is "partial 16S ribosomal RNA". It matches the Rfam family "Bacterial small subunit ribosomal RNA", at positions 338 to 795 of the family's 1533-position model. The record is from RNAcentral.